RNAcentral lists this ribosomal RNA (253 nucleotides) under uncultured bacterium. Its description in RNAcentral is "partial 16S ribosomal RNA". It matches the Rfam family "Bacterial small subunit ribosomal RNA", at positions 524 to 776 of the family's 1533-position model. The record is from RNAcentral.
UACGAAGGUCCCUAGCGUUGUUCGGAAUUAUUGGGCGUAAAGCGCAGGUAGGUGGCUUUUCAAGUCAGGUGUGAAAGCCUGGGGCUUAACCCCAGAAGUGCACUUGAAACUGUUUAGCUUGAGUACGGGAGAGGUGAGUGGAAUUCCUGGUGUAGUGGUGAAAUACGUAGAUAUCAGGAGGAACACCGGUGGCGAAGGCGGCUCACUGGCCCAGUACUGACACUGAGCUGCGAAAGCAUGGGGAUCAAACAGG